CAAUAGCGUAUAUUAAAGUUGUUGCAGUUAGAACGCUCGUAGUCGGAUUUCGGGGCGGGCCGACCGGUCUGCCGAUGGGUACGCACUGGUCGGCGCGUCCUUCCUUCCGGAGACCGUUCCUACUCUUAACUGAGCGGGGGCGGGAGACGGAUCGUUUACUUUGAAAAAAUCAGAGUGUUUCAAGCAGGCAGCUCGCUCUUGCAUGGAUUAGCAUGGGAUAAUGAAAUAGGACUUUGGUGCUAUUUUGUUGGUUUCGAACACCGAAGUAAUGAUUAAAAGGGACAGUCAGGGGCACUCGUAUUCCGCCGAGAGAGGUGAAAUUCUCAGACCAGCGGAAGACGAACUACUGCGAAAGCAUUUGCCAGGGAUGUUUUCACUGA
RNAcentral lists this ribosomal RNA (380 nucleotides) under uncultured eukaryote. Its description in RNAcentral is "partial 18S ribosomal RNA". It matches the Rfam family "Eukaryotic small subunit ribosomal RNA", at positions 592 to 976 of the family's 1831-position model. The record is from RNAcentral.